Long non-coding RNA from Arabidopsis lyrata subsp. lyrata, 807 nucleotides. RefSeq lists it as uncharacterized. Lineage: Eukaryota; Viridiplantae; Streptophyta; Magnoliopsida; Brassicales; Brassicaceae. The transcript has 2 exons. The record is from RefSeq and is a predicted model, not a curated record.
GAAACAGCGUUAAAUUUCGCUAAGAAAAGCCUGAUGUUGCAGCCAAAACUUGCAGUAUAAUCUAUUCAAAUUAAACAAAACAAAAAAUAAGAUGAACUCUAUAAGUAUAACCAUCAGUAAACCAAAGAGAGUACUCUCAUUCUUUUUUACUCAAAUCACGGAAAUUGAAUAUAUAUAGAGAUAAUUGGGUGUGAAGUAUCAGAUCUGAGUCUAAUUAAAUUUUCGGUUUUAUCUUUUUGAUCACAUGACAAUGAUAAUUUCAACCCCAUUUUCUGCCUUCUUUACCCUCACUCGCCAGAAUAGAGCAAUCCAAACUUAUCAUCAUUUAUCUUCAUUUUUGUCUCAUAUUUUCUCUCUCUCAAAACCUUUCUCUCAGUCUCGUCUUCCUCUCAUCGAAAACUUGUUUUUGCUCCAACGAAGUACAUGAUUCCCAUCGUUGUCACUAUUAAGUCGCCGUCUCAAAGCGUCUUCCUCUCUAAUUCGAUCUAAAUUUCUUGCAGGAUGACUCCAACGGAGCUUCCUUCUUGUUUAUUUGCCGAGAGAGAAGAACUUGCCGGUGAUACGGAGCAGUUGGUGAUAGAACUAAACCAGAAUCCGACGAUGAAGAUGUGUUCCCUCUAAUUUCUUUGAAAUUAGAUAAAGUGUGAGAAUUAGAUGUAGGAGAUCAAGUAUGUUAGACCUCUAUGCGUUUAUAUAAAUGUCCAUUCAGUUUUUGUCAAGCGACAUUUGUUUAGAUAUACAACUACAUCCUUUUUUAAUUUCUAUAAAUUGUUGUUAUAGAUAACUAUAUUUAUAAAUACAUAAAUA